This 450-nucleotide ribosomal RNA is filed under the name uncultured prokaryote. Its description in RNAcentral is "bacterial SSU rRNA". It matches the Rfam family "Bacterial small subunit ribosomal RNA", at positions 355 to 796 of the family's 1533-position model. The record is from RNAcentral.
UCGAGAAUCAUUCGCAAUGGGCGAAAGCCUGACGGUGCGAAGCCGCGUGGAGGAUGAAGGCCCUCGGGUCGUAAACUCCUGUCAUCCGUGAGUAAGGUUAAGUGGAGUAACUGCCAUUUGAUUUGAUAGUAACUGAAGAGGAAGGGACGGCUAACUUCGUGCCAGCAGCCGCGGUAAUACGAAGGUCCCAAGCGUUGAUCGGAAUUACAGGGCGUAAAGCGUACGUAGGCGGUAGGGUAAGUCAGAUGUGAAAGCCCGGGGCUCAACCUCGGAACUGCAUCCGAUACUGCCUUACUAGAGUAGUGGAGGGGAGACUGGAAUUCACGGUGUAGCAGUGAAAUGCGUAGAGAUCGUGAGGAACACUAGUGGCGAAGGCGAGUCUCUGGACACUUACUGACGCUGAGGUACGAAGGCUAGGGUAGCGAAAGGGAUUAGAUACCCCGGUAGUCC